UACGGAGGGGGCUAGCGUUGUUCGGAAUUACUGGGCGUAAAGCGCGCGUAGGCGGCUUUGUAAGUUAGAGGUGAAAGCCCGGAGCUCAACUCCGGAACUGCCUUUAAGACUGCAUCGCUAGAAUUGUGGAGAGGUGAGUGGAAUUCCGAGUGUAGAGGUGAAAUUCGUAGAUAUUCGGAAGAACACCAGUGGCGAAGGCGACUCACUGGACACAUAUUGACGCUGAGGUGCGAAAGCGUGGGGAGCAAACGGG
This 253-nucleotide ribosomal RNA is filed under the name uncultured bacterium. RNAcentral's name for it is "partial 16S ribosomal RNA". It matches the Rfam family "Bacterial small subunit ribosomal RNA", at positions 524 to 776 of the family's 1533-position model. The record is from RNAcentral.